RNAcentral lists this ribosomal RNA (248 nucleotides) under uncultured bacterium. RNAcentral describes it as "partial 16S ribosomal RNA". It matches the Rfam family "Bacterial small subunit ribosomal RNA", at positions 28 to 280 of the family's 1533-position model. The record is from RNAcentral.
GAUGAACGCUGGCGGCGUGCCUAACACAUGCAAGUCGCGGGAGAAGUGCCUUCGGGCGCGGAAACCGGCGCACGGGUGAGUAACACGUAGCUUAUUUACCCCUUAGAGGUGGAUAACCUUUGGAAACAGAGGCUAAUACACCAUAAGCUCACGACCUCUAGAGGGUUGCGAGAAAAGUUCAGGCGCUAAGGGAUGAGGCUGCGAGCCAUCAGCUAGUUGGUGCGGUAAAGGCGUACCAAGGCGACGAC